RNAcentral lists this transfer RNA (66 nucleotides) under Melanagromyza aenea. Its description in RNAcentral is "tRNA-Asn". The record is from RNAcentral. Lineage: Eukaryota; Metazoa; Arthropoda; Insecta; Diptera; Agromyzidae.
UUAAUUGAAGCCAAAUAGAGGCAACUUAUUGUUAAUAAGAAUAUUGAGAACUUAUCUCCAAUUAAA